AGAGUUUGAUCCUGGCUCAGAUUGAACGCUGGCGGCAUGCCUUACACAUGCAAGUCGAACGGCAGCACGGGGGCAACCCUGGUGGCGAGUGGCGAACGGGUGAGUAAUACAUCGGAACGUGUCCUGUAGUGGGGGAUAGCCCGGCGAAAGCCGGAUUAAUACCGCAUACGAUCUACGGAAGAAAGCGGGGGACCGAAAGGCCUCGCGCUAUAGGGGCGGCCGAUGGCAGAUUAGCUAGUUGGUGGGGUAAAGGCCUACCAAGGCGACGAUCUGUAGCUGGUCUGAGAGGACGACCAGCCACACUGGGACUGAGACACGGCCCAGACUCCUACGGGAGGCAGCAGUGGGGAAUUUUGGACAAUGGGGGCAACCCUGAUCCAGCAAUGCCGCGUGUGUGAAGAAGGCCUUCGGGUUGUAAAGCACUUUUGUCCGGAAAGAAAACUUCUGGGUUAAUACCCUGGGAGGCUGACGGUACCGGAAGAAUAAGCACCGGCUAACUACGUGCCAGCAGCCGCGGUAAUACGUAGGGUGCGAGCGUUAAUCGGAAUUACUGGGCGUAAAGCGUGCGCAGGCGGUUUGUUAAGACAGAUGUGAAAUCCCCGGGCUUAACCUGGGAACUGCAUUUGUGACUGGCAAGCUAGAGUAUGGCAGAGGGGGGUAGAAUUCCACGUAGCAGUGAAAUGCGUAGAGAUGUGGAGGAAUACCGAUGGCGAAGGCAGCCCCCUGGGCCAAUACUGACGCUCAUGCACGAAAGCGUGGGGAGCAAACAGGAUUAGAUACCCUAGUAGUCC
RNAcentral lists this ribosomal RNA (791 nucleotides) under uncultured bacterium. RNAcentral describes it as "bacterial SSU rRNA". It matches the Rfam family "Bacterial small subunit ribosomal RNA", at positions 8 to 796 of the family's 1533-position model. The record is from RNAcentral.